Molecule: transfer RNA, 72 nt
Filed under: Patescibacteria group bacterium
Lineage: Bacteria
Also listed under: 1 other name
Description: tRNA-Ser
Rfam family: tRNA
About the family: Transfer RNA (tRNA) molecules are approximately 80 nucleotides in length. Their secondary structure includes four short double-helical elements and three loops (D, anti-codon, and T loops).
Source: RNAcentral
GGGCCCGUAGUGUUAGCGGUAGCACUCCGCUCUUGACAGGCGGUUGUGCGGGUUCGAUUCCCGCCGGGUCCA